AGUUACUGUUAACUGAAUACAUAGGUUAACAGAGCAAACCGGGGGAACUGAAACAUCUAAGUACCCCGAGGAGAAGAAAUCAACCGAGAUUCCGGUAGUAGCGGCGAGCGAACCUGGAUUAGCCCUUAAGCACUCGGUGAAGUAGGUGAACAAGCUGGAAAGCUUGGCGAUACAGGGUGAUAGCCCCGUAACCGACGCUUCAUCGAGCGUGAAAUCGAGUAGGGCGGGACACGUGAUAUCCUGUCUGAAUAUGGGGGGACCAUCCUCCAAGGCUAAAUACUCCUGACUGACCGAUAGUGAACCAGUACCGUGAGGGAAAGGCGAAAAGAACCCCUGUGAGGGGAGUGAAAUAGAACCUGAAACCGUGUACGUACAAGCAGUAGGAGCACCUUCGUGGUGUGACUGCGUACCUUUUGUAUAAUGGGUCAGCGACUUAUAUUCAGUGGCAAGGUUAACCGUAUAGGGGAGCCGUAGCGAAAGCGAGUCUUAACUGGGCGCUCAGUCUCUGGAUAUAGACCCGAAACCGGGUGAUCUAGCCAUGGGCAGGUUGAAGGUUGAGUAACAUCAACUGGAGGACCGAACCGACUAAUGUUGAAAAAUUAGCGGAUGACUUGUGGCUAGGGGUGAAAGGCCAAUCAAACUCGGAGAUAGCUGGUUCUCCCCGAAAGCUAUUUAGGUAGCGCCUCGGACGAAUACUACUGGGGGUAGAGCACUGUUAAGGCUAGGGGGUCAUCCCGACUUACCAACCCUUUGCAAACUCCGAAUACCAGUAAGUACUAUCCGGGAGACACACGGCGGGUGCUAACGUCCGUCGUGGAGAGGGAAACAACCCAGACCGCCAGCUAAGGUCCCAAAGUAUUGCUAAGUGGGAAACGAUGUGGGAAGGCUCAGACAGCUAGGAUGUUGGCUUAGAAGCAGCCAUCAUUUAAAGAAAGCGUAAUAGCUCACUAGUCGAGUCGGCCUGCGCGGAAGAUGUAACGGGGCUAAGCAAUACACCGAAGCUGCGGCAAUGUCUUUUAGACAUUGGGUAGGGGAGCGUUCUGUAAGCCGUUGAAGGUGAAUCGUAAGGUUUGCUGGAGGUAUCAGAAGUGCGAAUGCUGACAUGAGUAACGACAAAGGGGGUGAAAAACCUCCUCGCCGGAAGACCAAGGGUUCCUGUCCAACGUUAAUCGGGGCAGGGUGAGUCGACCCCUAAGGUGAGGCCGAAAGGCGUAAUCGAUGGGAAACGGGUUAAUAUUCCCGUACUUCUGACUAUUGCGAUGGGGGGACGGAGAAGGCUAGGUGGGCCAGGCGACGGUUGUCCUGGUUCAAGUGCGUAGGCUUGAGAGUUAGGUAAAUCCGGCUCUCUCUAAGGCUGAGACACGACGUCGAGCUGCUACGGCAGUGAAGUCAUUGAUGCCAUGCUUCCAGGAAAAGCCUCUAAGCUUCAGAUAGUCAGGAAUCGUACCCCAAACCGACACAGGUGGUCGGGUAGAGAAUACCAAGGCGCUUGAGAGAACUCGGGUGAAGGAACUAGGCAAAAUGGUACCGUAACUUCGGGAGAAGGUACGCUCUUGAUGGUGAAGUCCCUCGCGGAUGGAGCUGACGAGAGUCGCAGAUACCAGGUGGCUGCAACUGUUUAUUAAAAACACAGCACUGUGCAAAAUCGCAAGAUGACGUAUACGGUGUGACGCCUGCCCGGUGCCGGAAGGUUAAUUGAUGGGGUUAGCGCAAGCGAAGCUCUUGAUCGAAGCCCCGGUAAACGGCGGCCGUAACUAUAACGGUCCUAAGGUAGCGAAAUUCCUUGUCGGGUAAGUUCCGACCUGCACGAAUGGCGUAAUGAUGGCCACGCUGUCUCCACCCGAGACUCAGUGAAAUUGAAAUCGCUGUGAAGAUGCAGUGUACCCGCGGCUAGACGGAAAGACCCCGUGAACCUUUACUACAGCUUGGCACUGAACAUUGAACCUACAUGUGUAGGAUAGGUGGGAGGCUAUGAAGACGUGACGCCAGUUGCGUUGGAGCCGUCCUUGAAAUACCACCCUUGUAUGUUUGAUGUUCUAACUUAGACCCAUUAUCUGGGUUGAGGACAGUGCCUGGUGGGUAGUUUGACUGGGGCGGUCUCCUCCCAAAGAGUAACGGAGGAGCACGAAGGUGGGCUAAUCACGGUUGGACAUCGUGAGGUUAGUGCAAUGGCAUAAGCCCGCUUAACUGCGAGAAUGACGGUUCGAGCAGGUGCGAAAGCAGGUCAUAGUGAUCCGGUGGUUCUGUAUGGAAGGGCCAUCGCUCAACGGAUAAAAGGUACUCCGGGGAUAACAGGCUGAUACCGCCCAAGAGUUCAUAUCGACGGCGGUGUUUGGCACCUCGAUGUCGGCUCAUCACAUCCUGGGGCUGAAGUCGGUCCCAAGGGUAUGGCUGUUCGCCAUUUAAAGUGGUACGCGAGCUGGGUUUAGAACGUCGUGAGACAGUUCGGUCCCUAUCUGCCGUGGGCGUUGGAAGAUUGAAGGGGGCUGCUCCUAGUACGAGAGGACCGGAGUGGACGAACCUCUGGUGUUCGGGUUGUGUCGCCAGACGCAUUGCCCGGUAGCUAAGUUCGGAAUUGAUAAGCGCUGAAAGCAUCUAAGCGCGAAGCGAGCCCUGAGAUGAGUCUUCCCUGACAGUUUAACUGUCCUAAAGGGUUGUUCGAGACUAGAACGUUGAUAGGCAGGGUGUGUAAGCGUUGUGAGGCGUUGAGCUAACCUGUACUAAUUGCCCGUGAGGCUUAACCA
Molecule: ribosomal RNA, 2744 nt
Filed under: Vibrio cholerae
Lineage: Bacteria; Pseudomonadati; Pseudomonadota; Gammaproteobacteria; Vibrionales; Vibrionaceae
Description: 23S ribosomal RNA
Rfam family: Bacterial large subunit ribosomal RNA
Source: RNAcentral